This 72-nucleotide transfer RNA is filed under the name Strigamia maritima. RNAcentral describes it as "tRNA-Pro for anticodon AGG". It matches the Rfam family "tRNA". Rfam says of the family: Transfer RNA (tRNA) molecules are approximately 80 nucleotides in length. Their secondary structure includes four short double-helical elements and three loops (D, anti-codon, and T loops). Lineage: Eukaryota; Metazoa; Arthropoda; Chilopoda; Geophilomorpha; Linotaeniidae. The record is from Rfam by way of RNAcentral.
GGCCUGGUGGUCUAGGGGUAUGAUUCUCGCUUAGGGUGCGAGAGGUCCCGGGUUCAAAUCCCGGCCAGGCCC